RNAcentral lists this ribosomal RNA (462 nucleotides) under uncultured bacterium. RNAcentral's name for it is "bacterial SSU rRNA". It matches the Rfam family "Bacterial small subunit ribosomal RNA", at positions 29 to 534 of the family's 1533-position model. The record is from RNAcentral.
AGCGAACGCUGGCGGCAGGCUUAACACAUGCAAGUCGAGCAGGCGUAGCAAUACGUCAGCGGCAGACGGGUGAGUAACGCGUGGGAACGUACCUUUUGGUUCGGAACAACACAGGGAAACUUGUGCUAAUACCGGAUAAGCCCUUACGGGGAAAGAUUUAUCGCCGAAAGAUCGGCCCGCGUCUGAUUAGCUAGUUGGUGAGGUAACGGCUCACCAAGGCGACGAUCAGUAGCUGGUCUGAGAGGAUGAUCAGCCACAUUGGGACUGAGACACGGCCCAAACUCCUACGGGAGGCAGCAGUGGGGAAUAUUGGACAAUGGGGGCAACCCUGAUCCAGCCAUGCCGCGUGAGUGAUGAAGGCCCUAGGGUUGUAAAGCUCUUUUGUGCGGGAAGAUAAUGACGGUACCGCAAGAAUAAGCCCCGGCUAACUUCGUGCCAGCAGCCGCGGUAAGGUAGAUGAGU